CAUAAAUGUAUGCCGCUCUCUGUACAAACUGCUAGGACAGCUAUUGGUUUUAACAGAAAAGCAGAGACAGAGAGAAAAAAAUCUUGCAGAUCGACGGGGUGGAUGCACAUUAAUCCAGAUCGGAUUUUUCUCCAUGCAGAAAUCAGGAGACGCCAUUGACGAAGACUGCCUUCGUGCCACAUGUGAAGAGUGGGGUUCUAUGUCAGCAGAAGAACAUGCAUGUGCUAUGGGCUGAUAUGAGGAACCUACGUUAGAUUCACACACAGUGACCACAUAGAGGACUCACCACAUGUGUAGUACUCCACUCUUUGUGAAAUUAUUUGCCUACAUUUUACAGUAUUAUCUGUAAAUGAACCACUGAUGAAGAGUUAAAUUCUAAAAUGCCAAACAAUGUUUUGUCAGCCAAAUCUGCAAUAGUAUUAUGAAAGUAAUGUUACAAAGACACAUGUUAAACAAAUCAGUACUGAUGUAAUGUAAUGCUUUUUAUAUCAUAUUACUCACACUUUGCUAUUUACAAUUACUGGCAUAUACAGUUAAUCAUUUAAAAAGCUGUUGAUUGGAGAGGAGCAAUCUUUUGUUUUUGUUCCAGAGAUAUGUACGAUAACAUGUUUAAGUUUUAAGUACCUGAGUUAUGGUCGGGGACUUUAUCCUAAGCCAGUAACUUACUCUGAAAUUAUUUAACAUACUAUAUAUGGUGUUCUGUUUAUAAUUAAUAACAAGACAGUUGCAUACAAGUUAAAAUGUACAUUUAUUAACAAAAUAUUGGCUACAUUCACCAUGGGGAAAAUGGCUGAGGUAAAACAAAGCAUUUGGAGAAAAGGAUAGAAUCAGAGGAAGAGCUGUGACAGAACUCAGUGUGAUGACUUCCUUUGUUAAAACGAAACAUUGUUCAUCAAACGUCAUAUGAAGUAUAAAAAUCCUGGACAUUUUUCAUGCCAAAAAUGUGUGUAGAAAGUUCAAAUCCAGCAGUUCAAACACUACUGGAUUUGGUCUUUCAAACACUCGGCAAUGUUUUUUAAAAAUAUAUCAUUUCCCAAAGGGGCUAAAUGAACUUGAUCACGCAAAAAAUGUCCAGGAUCUUUAUGCUGUAUCUGACGAUGAUGCACA
Long non-coding RNA from Paramisgurnus dabryanus, 1107 nucleotides. RefSeq lists it as uncharacterized. The record is from RefSeq and is a predicted model, not a curated record. Lineage: Eukaryota; Metazoa; Chordata; Actinopteri; Cypriniformes; Cobitidae.